This 65-nucleotide transfer RNA is filed under the name Capsaloides cristatus. RNAcentral's name for it is "tRNA-Arg". Lineage: Eukaryota; Metazoa; Platyhelminthes; Monogenea; Capsalidea; Capsalidae. The record is from RNAcentral.
UUUGGUAAACUAAAAAAUUAGAUCUAUAUUUCGGCUAUAGGCUUUGGACUAAACCCCUACCAAAU